Non-coding RNA from Pelobates cultripes (western spadefoot toad), 256 nucleotides. The record is from the annotation of a GenBank genome assembly. Lineage: Eukaryota; Metazoa; Chordata; Amphibia; Anura; Pelobatidae.
CGAAGUUUUGGUGGUUAUUCGUAAGCAGAUAUAAUCAAUAGUGUGCCUUUUCCUCUUAAUGUGUAGCUACCCAUGGCAGGUAAUUAAAAAUCAUUUUGUAUUAUCUCGUAUAUCUAUUACUUGCUUACAAAUCUCUACACAUUGCUGCUCCGACCUUUCUAUCCUCACAAAUAUGUCCCGUCUAAUCCUCUACACACUGCUGGAGACCUACAUCUAACCUCUGUUCAUAUUCCUACCUCUGAUGCUCACCUUAAAG